AGUGGCGGACGGGUGAGUAACGCGUGAGAAUCUGCCUUGGGGUCGGGGACAACCACUGGAAACGGUGGCUAAUACCGGAUAAGCCGAUUGGUGAAAGAUUUAUUGCCCGAAGAGGAGCUCGCGUCUGAUUAGCUAGUUGGUGAGGUAAGAGCUCACCAAGGCAGCGAUCAGUAGCUGGUCUGAGAGGACGAUCAGCCACACUGGGACUGAGACACGGCCCAGACUCCUACGGGAGGCAGCAGUGGGUAAUUUUCCGCAAUGGGCGAAAGCCUGACGGAGCAAGACCGCGUGAGGGAGGAAGGCUCUUGGGUUGUAAACCUCUUUUCUCAGGGAAGAAGCUCUGACGGUACCUGAGGAAUCAGCCUCGGCUAACUCCGUGCCAGCAGCCGCGGUAAUACGGAGGAGGCAAGCGUUAUCCGGAAUUAUUGGGCGUAAAGCGUCCGCAGGUGGCGAUUCAAGUCUGCUGUCAAAGCACGGGGCUUAACUCCGUAAAGGCAGUGGAAACUGAAUAGCUAGAGUGCCGUAGGGGUAGAGGGAAUUCCCGGUGUAGCGGUGAAAUGCGUAGAGAUCGGGAAGAACAUCGGUGGCGAAAGCGCUCUACUGGACGGCAACUGACACUCAGGGACGAAAGCUAGGGGAGCGAAUGGGAUUAGAUACCCC
This 660-nucleotide ribosomal RNA is filed under the name uncultured bacterium. RNAcentral describes it as "bacterial SSU rRNA". It matches the Rfam family "Bacterial small subunit ribosomal RNA", at positions 94 to 788 of the family's 1533-position model. The record is from RNAcentral.